CGGCAGCACGGGUGCUUGCACCUGGUGGCGAGUGGCGAACGGGUGAGUAAUACAUCGGAACGUACCUUAUCGUGGGGGAUAACGCAGCGAAAGUUGCGCUAAUACCGCAUACGCCCUGAGGGGGAAAGCGGGGGACCGUAAGGCCUCGCGCGAUUAGAGCGGCCGAUGUCUGAUUAGCUUGUUGGUGAGGUAAAAGCUCACCAAGGCGACGAUCAGUAGCUGGUCUGAGAGGACGAUCAGCCACACUGGGACUGAGACACGGCCCAGACUCCUACGGGAGGCAGCAGUGGGGAAUUUUGGACAAUGGGGGCAACCCUGAUCCAGCAAUGCCGCGUGAGUGAAGAAGGCCUUCGGGUUGUAAAGCUCUUUUGUCAGGGAAGAAACAGCAGCUCUAACACAGACUGCGAAUGACGGUACCUGAAGAAUAAGCACCGGCUAACUACGUGCCAGCAGCCGCGGUAAUACGUAGGGUGCGAGCGUUAAUCGGAAUUACUGGGCGUAAAGCGUGCGC
This 511-nucleotide ribosomal RNA is filed under the name uncultured beta proteobacterium. Its description in RNAcentral is "bacterial SSU rRNA". It matches the Rfam family "Bacterial small subunit ribosomal RNA", at positions 67 to 572 of the family's 1533-position model. The record is from RNAcentral. Lineage: Bacteria; Pseudomonadati; Pseudomonadota; Betaproteobacteria.